GUAGGGGGCAAGCGUUGUCCGGAUUUAUUGGGCGUAAAGAGCGUGUAGGCGGCCAGAUAGGUCAGCUGUGAAAACUCGAGGCUCAACCUCGAGACGUCGGUUGAAACCAUCUGGCUAGAGUCCGGAAGAGGAGAGUGGAAUUCCCGGUGUAGGGGUGAAAUCCGUAGAUAUCGGGAGGAAUACCAGCGGCGAAGGCGGCCUUCUGGACGGUGACUGACGCUGAGACGCGAAAGCGUGGGGAGCAAACAGGAUUAGAUACCCUGGUAGUCCACGCCGUAAACGUUGAGUGCUAGGUGUCGCGGGUAUUGACCCCUGCGGUGCCGUCGUUAACGCAUUUAGCACUCCGCCUGGGGAGUACGGUCGCAAGGCUA
Molecule: ribosomal RNA, 371 nt
Filed under: uncultured bacterium
Lineage: Bacteria
Description: bacterial SSU rRNA
Rfam family: Bacterial small subunit ribosomal RNA
Source: RNAcentral